This 108-nucleotide ribosomal RNA is filed under the name Erysipelotrichia bacterium. The record is from RNAcentral. Lineage: Bacteria; Bacillati; Bacillota; Erysipelotrichia.
CCCGGUGAUUUAGUUUGGUAGGCUCUACCUGUUCUCAUUCCGAACACAGAAGUAAAAAUACCAAACGCCGAUGAUACUCCUUUUGGGGGAAAGUAGGUUUUGCCGGGG